RNAcentral lists this long non-coding RNA (1122 nucleotides) under Felis catus (domestic cat). Its description in RNAcentral is "lncRNA (ENSFCAG00000048951.1)". The record is from RNAcentral. Lineage: Eukaryota; Metazoa; Chordata; Mammalia; Carnivora; Felidae.
AUGUCCCCCGGGUAUCGCGGAGUCUCUGGCCGAGACGCCGCCUCUCCUGCUUUGAAAGCGGCCUGGACGCGCUGCCGUCCCACCCGUGUUCGCGGUGCGCAGAGACGAAGGACGAAGCGCGCUCACCCUCCUCGAGCCGAGCGGACGGACGGUGACGAUCUCGGGCUGACAGAUCCCCUCUCCGGUUGCCUUUGGCCUCGUCCGCGUGGCGCCCUCCUCUUGAGCUGCUGGCGUGGGCACGUGGUCCCUCUGUCCCCGAGAUGCCGUAGCCUCCCGUCUCCCCUCAGACAGAGGGUGUGUUUGCGUGAGCUCGGUGUUGGCGAGCGCGAGCGCGUCCCGGGCGCUGGGGCGAUGCCUCGCCCCGUCCUGGGGGACCGUCCCCACCGACCGUCUCUGGCCCUGUGGGCGGCCGUCUGCCUCGGGCCGCUCUCGCCCACGUCCCCAGCCCUCCCCGUCUCCCCCAUCGCCGCCACAGCCCACCCUGCAGGGCUCUGUAACCCGGCCCAGCUGCGAGCCGGGGCCCCGCGCCCCUACCCUGUAGCUCGCUUCACCCCUCAUCCUCGUGAGGGGACGGGGGGGGGCUGCAGGUGUCAUCCGGUCACCCUUGGGGGAACCUCAAAGGGGGGGAACCUUUGGGGCGCUGAACAGCAUCUGCCUGCUGCUCCCUCUGCAAGCCCCUCCCCCUCACUGGGGUGCACGGUGGCCCCUCCACCCCCGCCCCCCGUGAGUCCGGCCGGGCCUCUGCUGCCGGUUUGGGGGCAUCCUGCUGGGGCCCUGGCGGGCACCUGGCCUGCUCCUGUCCCUGAGGGUGUGGUGGCAGCGACAGGGCGGGGUGGGGCGGGGGGGGGGCGCCUGUGCUCCGCAGCGUGCUCAGCUGUUGUGCGUGGCCUUCCCCACCCCGACGCCCCCUGUGCCAUCAGACGGCUGCUUUGGACCCGGGAAGGCAGAGAGGGAUCAUCUGGCCGCUGGAAGUCACCGGCUUUCAAGGUAGAACAGGCUGACAAAGGAGACCGUGGGGUCCUGAGCCCGCGGUACCAGAACGGCGUCUGCUCUGUCACCUCUGGCCGGGCCCUGGGCUCUGAGGUCCUCGGGGCGAGCCGGGGACAGGCACGUGCUCGGUGA